This 24-nucleotide non-coding RNA is filed under the name Arabidopsis thaliana (thale cress). The record is from RNAcentral. Lineage: Eukaryota; Viridiplantae; Streptophyta; Magnoliopsida; Brassicales; Brassicaceae.
ACCCACUCUCACCAAUCGCGUGAU